GACCUGUUGCUGGGGCAACCAGGUUCAGAAAACUAACCUCCUCUCCUUGAGCCUCAGGAGAUUAUUCGGAGAACUAACCAAUGGAGAAGACGCUUCUCUUCCUGGUCUUCUCCUCUCUCGGGCUCUCCAUGAGCCUUUGGGGUCUUUGCUCAUGGCUUCAGCCAAAGGGUCACCCAAGUGGAUUGAACCCCCGGAAGUGUGCGAUUCUUCCUCCUCUCUUCUCUGCUCUGUAAAUACAACCUUCCCAUCAUGCUGUCUUCUAGUCCCUCCCUGGAGAUAUACCCAGCGGCUGCGUGUUUGUCUCCUGGUGUUUUCAGAUGUUGCUCAAUCACUGAGCCGAGUACAGUUCUAUUGAUGAGCGUAUACAAUCUGUCCCCCAAAUGGCACACGUGUGCUUUGAGAUCAUGCCUGACCCACAACAGGUGCUUAAUAAAUGUUUGGUGACUCUGACUAGAGACACAAGUUGGAAGAAUUGGCUUCUGGAAGAUAAUUGGAAGUCAUGAGAGAAAAAUCACUAACCCGUACAUACUCUUUGAAGCAAUGGUCCCAGUUCUAGCCUUGUGCCUAUGGAAUACAAAGACCCCAAGGGACCGGAAAUGGGCACAGCAUCCUCUUGGGGUGGGUAAUGAAAAACAAAAAAAGCUGGAGAGAUUGUUGGGGCUCAGCAGUGAACCCAUGUGUCCACAGAGAGAACUGAAAACUGCCCUUUGACUUUUGGGACAAUCUGUAUGAUGGAAUAAUAUUGAAUCGUAACACAGGGAAGUGUGUGCAGCUCUGAACUUGGAAUCAGGAAGGUCUAGGUUCAAGAUGUUUCCUGGCCGAACACCCCUUCAUCUCCCUGAGUUUCCUCACCUGUAAAACGAGGAGGUGGGAACAGAGGACCUCUGAGAUCCCUCCCUGGUCCAGAUCUACCUUCCUAUAUGAAGAAUUCAGGGAAACUUGGUGAAAUAGGUAGGAACUGAGGCAGAACAAAGAAAACAGAAGCCAGAGAACCAUAGAGCCCAUCCUGAAUUCAAGGCAGGAGAACUCAUGCUAACAACCAUGACACUUGAGCCAGGAGGAUGGAUGAUGAAACCCUUCUCCAUAAAGGGAAUGGAAAGAGUGUGAAGCAGAAGGCCUGUGUUCAAAUUCUGCAGCUGCUACUAAAUGCCUCAGGCAAGUCAUUUAAAUUCUGGAGGUUUCCGGUUUUCAUCUCUAAAACCAGCUCCCUUCCAGCCCUACAUUUAGGCUCCUGCUUUGAAAUGUGUUGCCCAUAGUUCACAUAGAUGGAUCCUCUGUUUACUAUAGAGUCCAUAGAAUGUAAGAUCCGGAAAUGCAGGCUUUCUCUCCCCUGGGCCAAGCACCCAUUUCAGUCCUUCCAUGUGGGGUCUUUGGGUGUUUCUGGAAAUUCAGCGGAAACGGCGAUUUCAAAUCUACUUUGUGCCGCUCGCUGUUCCCUUUAAGUACAGAAGAAAUGGAGCCUCUGUCUUUGAAGGCUGGCUUGCCAUUCUCCUUGUUUGCUCCUGCCCCCCUCCACCUCCAUUGGAAAUGUUCCCCAUCUUCAUUUUCCGCACAUUUGGCGCUGGCCUCUCGCUUCCUCCCAACCCCACGCCCACUGGAAAGAAACAAAACCUAGUAGAGUGAAGAGAACUCCUAAACGGGCGUAGUUCAUUUAGCAAGGAGGCAGAAUUGGAAACGGAGGUCCAGGAAGGGGAAGAGAUUUGCCCAAGGGCAAGCAGGGGGUACACAGUAGAGCAGGAUUUGAAUUCCAGUCCUCCAAGUCCAUUUCUCCGUCUCCUUGCCAGCGUCCCCCGUUAAGGAGACCCUGAGGGGACGAAGUCUUGCUCCGUGUCCCUACACGGCGGCGGCUCUGGGCUGGAGGGACCAGGGAAAGGAAUUCAGGAGGAGCUCUAGCUUUCAGAGUCUUCUUGAAGGUCAGAGCAACAGGCCGCGUGGUACUGUGGGGCCUGCGGGCGAUGCCCUGGAGGGCGGCACUUCCCAGACCAGAUAGGGAGCCUGUGGACCUCGCUUUGGGGUCCCUUGGCUUUCUGCAUCCACAGCUGUAGCAAACCCCUCAGGGGGCUGCUUUGUCCCCAGACCCACCCCGGCUGCGGCAUCUCUCUCCCCUUCGGUGCCCCUCCCUCUCUGCCCCCGCCCCUGGCCCCGCCCCUCCUGGCACCCAGCCGCGCUGCUGCCGCUGCUCUCUAAGCUGGCAGCUGACGGACGCUGGGGCCACCGUGCUGUCCCCAGCUCCCGCAGCCUCCGCCUCGGCAGCUGUCUAGGGGCCGGGGAGAGAAGGGGGGGGGGGGGGUCCUCUGGUCACGUGGACUGGGGCCAGCUGUUACCUGGGGGUGGUGUGGUGAGAGAGCAGGGAGGGGGCGGGGAAGCACCCGCAGCGGCCAGGGCAGUUUUUGCUGAAGCCACUGCAGCCUGGGCUGCCGCAACAGCAGCGGCACCAGCGGCGGUAGCAGCGCCAACAGCAGCAGCAGCAGCAGCAACAGCCGCCGCCUUCUCAGCGGAGCCCAGAGACUGAACGAGGCCGGGAGAGCGCGAGCCCGCAGCCAGGUCAAAGAUCAUUUUUCUUGGAAGAGAAAAUUGCAGCAAAGUAGUAAUUGAGCAACUUGGCCUUCUCCCUGUUGUCAGUCAUCAUCCCAUCCAUUGCACACAAAGGUCCUGGCCUUUUUUUUUUUUUGAUCCUCCUUUUCCUUCCAGCAAAGCUAAAAAAAUGCCACUUUUUUGUUGACUUUGAUUUUUCUCCUGUCUCAGUUCCUUCUAAAAAGAUUUAGCAUUCCUGGCACAUUUUUACAAGGCCAUGCACUCUUUUUAUUUUCAUCUUCCAUUAUGUGAACUUGAUCAUUACUUCUCUUCAUUAUCUUUGAAAAGUCCAGUUGGCUGAUGAGUUCCCUGUACACCUGCCCCAGUCUUUUUUAUAUUAUUUUUCAUAUUUAUAUAUUUUUCUUCAUCAGAAUUGUUUUGUUUUGGUCUUCUGAACUUCAUGCUCAAGAGAUUCUCAUAUCUCGUGAAUUGAAUUUUCCUAUACAAUUUUAACCCAUGAGAUCCUAGCUACCUUUCCUAUGAACAUUUGAAAUCUGCCCUUCUGAAAUCUAGAUGAGUUGGGCAUAGUGGUAUAAUUCUGUUAUUCUUGCAUCUGGGGAGGUGGAGGAUGGUGGAUCUUGAUCUCAGGGAUUAUGCCCUACAGUGGACUGUGCUGAUUGAGUAUUUGCAGUAAGUACAGACUUAGUGUAGGGAACUCUUGAGAAUGAGGGAUGAGGAAUCAGUUUACCCAAGGAGGGGUGAGCUGAUCCAGGUCAAAAAUAGAAUAACAGAAUCUCUUGUGACAAUCACUGGAGAAUUUGGGCCUGUGAGUAGCCCAGGUACUUGCACCUUGAUAGAAGUAGAGAAGGUCAGUCUUGAAAAAAAUAUCUAAGGAAUACGUCAAACUAUUCUCAGGUUUCUUCUCUGUCAAAAAUUCUAAAAUGGUCCAGUCAUUUCCACCAUGAUUUCUAUAUUUCCAUUAAAGCAAUUGGUCCUCCUUGAUUAGAAUUGAAUCUAAAAUUUAAAAUUCUUGUUUAAUCCUUAUUCAUUCAUUCAAUAAAUAUUUAUUUCAUUCUUGAGAAUCUUCAUCAUCUUUAGAAGAAUGAAAUAAUUGUUAAGGUAAAUGAAAAAAUUAUUAAAAUGAUUCUUUUAUCUUCAGAGAUACAAUAUGUGACAGUGUGCUAAAACAAGCAUCUGAAUAAUUUGAAGUCCCUCCUCAUUACUCUAAGAGGAAAUGUGGUAUGUAGUGGAUAGAGAGCUGGUCUUGGGAGUCAGGGACAUCUAAAGGCUGGAGAGUGGAAUUCAGAUAUUGGAUAAAACAUGGAGAGAGAAUCAACACCAGACUGGAUGCAGAGAGUGAAGGUGGGGAAGGGAGUCAAAGAUGAUUCUGGGAUUUUUAACCUGACCAGAGUGGUUUGUUCAGAUUUCAGCUCUUACAUUCAUUGGCUGUGUGAUCCUGAGAAAGUUACUUAGUAUUUCAGUGGCUCAGAUAAAUCUCCAAAAUUUUAUAUUGCCAAGAAGAUGAAUUAAAUACUAUUCUGUAUGUCAGACUUAUGAUUGAUUUUUUUAGACUCUUCAUCUAUUUCUUCUUUCUGUCCUGGUGGUCUAUAGAAUACUCUGAUGACACCUUCACUUUGUUUCUACUGCCAUUAUCUUCAUCCAAAUGCUUUCCAGCAUUUUUCCCCUUCUGGUCCUUGGAUUUCCUCAUGGUGCUGAGACACCCUUCUCCUACUUUGCCUCUCUUGUUCUUUGUGAUAAACUUCUUUGACUCUCCAACUGGAGAAAAGGAAUGUUUGAUCACUUAUGAAAGAAGAUGACUUGAGGAAAGAUAAUGUAUAAUCCCAAUAAGAAAAAGGGACAAAUGUAUAUUCUUCCGUUCUUUUCACUUUCUAUACCUCAGGAAAUUAGAAACUCAUUCUGUUCUUAAACUAAGCCUGAGUACUCUGCCAUAGAUGUGAUCUCUGAGAAUAAAGGUGAUGAGAUUCCCUGAAGAGAUUAGUAAAAUUUGGCUCUCACUGUCCCACUUUCCAUUAUUAAAAAGAGAUUCCAGGCUUAGUUGAUUUCAUUGUUCAAUCUAACCCAAGAGUCCUUCAGUGUAGGACAUUAAAUGCCUCACUGUGGACACAAUUAAUCUUUUGCUACUUGGGUUUAUAAGGGAGAUGACAGGCAUGUCCUUAUCAUUUGAGUUCCAAACAGCACAGGGUUUCUGAAAUCAUGGAUUAAAGAUUAUUUGGGAUCUCAUUUCCUUCCACCUUUGGACCUUAUUUGGAUAACACUGUGAUAAAGUGGAAGGAACAAUGGAUUUGGAGUCAGAGAACCUGGGUUCAAAUCCAUGAUUGACUACAAAACAUGGAAGCAGAAACCUUGUUAAAUGUGACCAAUACAGAAAUAAUUGUGGUUUCAAAUCUUCUCCCUGGUCCCUGCUUGGUUGCAGAAAUCAGCAGAAAAAUGGGCUCCGUUAUACUCACAGACUGCUGGGUAUCUGUUGCCAACAUCACCACUGCAUUAAAAUGGACCAAGAACAUUUGGUUGUGCAGUAGGAGUCCUGAUAGGAAUGGUCAGCAGCAGCCAAUGAACAUAUGUGAGUCUUAGCAGUUUUUCUAGAGAAAGUCCUUGGCUUUAGACUCAGAGUUGGUGAGUUACUAUCUUCUAGGGAGGCAAAGAAAGCAAGGCUUAUUUUUUAUUGAUCUUAUUUUGCUGGGGACAGGAUAGUAUGAGAUAUCAAUUAUUCAUGUAAAUAAGAUAUAAAUAACCUAUAAUAUGCUUCUGUUUUUCCCCCAUGUACUUGAUGAUGGUAGAAGUAGUAAGAAGGAGGAAAAUUCCUGUUUGUGCAAAUGUGUGUGUGUGCAUGUGUGAUCAAAGAAGCUGUCCUUUCAUUGGUGUGGGAGUGCUUCCCAGUGUGGGAAGCUCCAUUCACAAAUACAGAGUUCAACCCUUGAGAUAGCUUGCAAUAGUAAGAAGAUAUGGAUAUGAAUAUGGAGUUGAAGUACCAGGGCUCAAAUCACGGCUCCAAGUUGGUACUCAUCUUUGGAGCUCUUCUAGGAUCCAAUCUGGUUGAUUGAUGGCUAUGCAAACUAGUUUACGCAGACCUUCUGUGUCUACUGGCUGACUCUGGACAUAGACCAGGCUUUAGCUUCACAUGCUAUCCAGACAGCUCAUCAUCUCCUCUGCAGUAGCUGUCCUCUUCCCCCUCAAACCCUACAGAACAAAGCUCUCAUCCCUGAUCCAGU
Molecule: non-coding RNA, 5744 nt
Organism: Monodelphis domestica (gray short-tailed opossum)
Lineage: Eukaryota; Metazoa; Chordata; Mammalia; Didelphimorphia; Didelphidae
Source: RefSeq, a predicted model, not a curated record